GGCCCGGUAGCUCAGUCGGUAGAGCAGAGGGUUGAAAAUCCUUGUGUCGGUGGUUCGAUUCCGCCCCAGGCCACCA
RNAcentral lists this transfer RNA (76 nucleotides) under Polaromonas sp. RNAcentral's name for it is "tRNA-Phe". It matches the Rfam family "tRNA". Rfam says of the family: Transfer RNA (tRNA) molecules are approximately 80 nucleotides in length. Their secondary structure includes four short double-helical elements and three loops (D, anti-codon, and T loops). Lineage: Bacteria; Pseudomonadati; Pseudomonadota; Betaproteobacteria; Burkholderiales; Comamonadaceae. The record is from RNAcentral.